This 727-nucleotide ribosomal RNA is filed under the name uncultured bacterium. RNAcentral describes it as "bacterial SSU rRNA". It matches the Rfam family "Bacterial small subunit ribosomal RNA", at positions 789 to 1515 of the family's 1533-position model. The record is from RNAcentral.
GGUAGUCCAUGCCGUAAACGAUGUCUACUAGCUGUUGGGGCCUUUGAGGCUUUAGUGGCGCAGCUAACGCGAUAAGUAGACCGCCUGGGGAGUACGGUCGCAAGACUAAAACUCAAAUGAAUUGACGGGGGCCCGCACAAGCGGUGGAGCAUGUGGUUUAAUUCGAUGCAACGCGAAGAACCUUACCUGGUCUUGACAUAGUAAGAACUUUCCAGAGAUGGAUUGGUGCCUUCGGGAACUUACAUACAGGUGCUGCAUGGUUGUCGUCAGCUCGUGUCGUGAGAUGUUGGGUUAAGUCCCGCAACGAGCGCAACCCUUUUCCUUAUUUGCCAGCGGGUUAAGCCGGGAACUUUAAGGAUACUGCCAGUGACAAACUGGAGGAAGGCGGGGACGACGUCAAGUCAUCAUGGCCCUUACGACCAGGGCUACACACGUGCUACAAUGGUCGGUACAAAGGGUUGCUACCUCGCGAGAGGAUGCUAAUCUCAAAAAGCCGAUCGUAGUCCGGAUUGGAGUCUGCAACUCGACUCCAUGAAGUCGGAAUCGCUAGUAAUCGCGGAUCAGAAUGCCGCGGUGAAUACGUUCCCGGGCCUUGUACACACCGCCCGUCACACCAUGGGAGUUUGUUGCACCAGAAGUAGGUAGUCUAACCUUAGGGGGGACGCUUACCACGGUGUGGCAGAUGACUGGGGUGAAGUCGUAACAAGGUAGCCGUAGGGGAACCUGC